Molecule: long non-coding RNA, 427 nt
Filed under: Helianthus annuus (common sunflower)
Lineage: Eukaryota; Viridiplantae; Streptophyta; Magnoliopsida; Asterales; Asteraceae
Source: RNAcentral
GGUUGCGAUCAUACCAGCACUAAUGCACCGGAUCCCAUCAGAACUCCGCAGUUAAGCGUGCUUGGGCGAGAGUAGUACUAGGAUGGGUGACCCCCUGGGAAGUCCUCAUGUUGCAACCCCGUUUUUUUCGUUUUUUUGGUUUAUUUUAUUUACUAGUCGCUGUAUCUUUGUCGUAGCAUGCGAGCGGCUGAUUUUGUGAAAGGAAGGCUUUGACGAAGGCGCGUGACGUAGGCCACACAUGAGGGCAUAUGUGCGAAUGGGAUCAAGGCGUGGAAAGGUAUAAAGGAAUAAGAAGAAGGUAUGUUUUCGGUUGCGAUCAUACCAGCACUAAUGCACCGGAUCCCAUCAGAACUCCGCAGUUAAGCGUGCUUGGGCGAGAGUAGUACUAGGAUAGGUGACCCCCUGGGAAGUCCUCGUGUUACAACCC